Molecule: ribosomal RNA, 450 nt
Filed under: uncultured bacterium
Lineage: Bacteria
Description: partial 16S ribosomal RNA
Rfam family: Bacterial small subunit ribosomal RNA
Source: RNAcentral
GUGGGGAAUUUUGGACAAUGGGCGAAAGCCUGAUCCAGCCAUGCUGCGUGCAGGAUGAAGGCCUUCGGGUUGUAAACUGCUUUUGUACGGAACGAAAAGACUCCUUCUAAUAAAGGGGGUCCAUGACGGUACCGUAAGAAUAAGCACCGGCUAACUACGUGCCAGCAGCCGCGGUAAUACGUAGGGUGCAAGCGUUAAUCGGAAUUACUGGGCGUAACGCGUGCGCAGGCGGUUAUAUAAGACAGAUGUGAAAUCCCCGGGCUCAACCUGGGAACUGCAUUUGUGACUGUAUAGCUAGAGUACGGUAGAGGGGGAUGGAAUUCCGCGUGUAGCAGUGAAAUGCGUAGAUAUGCGGAGGAACACCGAUGGCGAAGGCAAUCCCCUGGACCUGUACUGACGCUCAUGCACGAAAGCGUGGGGAGCAAACAGGAUUAGAAACCCGAGUAGUCC